RNAcentral lists this ribosomal RNA (537 nucleotides) under Aerococcus viridans. RNAcentral describes it as "bacterial SSU rRNA". It matches the Rfam family "Bacterial small subunit ribosomal RNA", at positions 1 to 524 of the family's 1533-position model. The record is from RNAcentral. Lineage: Bacteria; Bacillati; Bacillota; Bacilli; Lactobacillales; Aerococcaceae.
UGGAGAGUUUGAUCCUGGCUCAGGACGAACGCUGGCGGCAUGCCUAAUACAUGCAAGUCGAGCGAACAGAUGAAGUGCUUGCACUUCUGACGUUAGCGGCGAACGGGUGAGUAACACGUAAGGAAUCYACCUAUAAGCGGGGGAUAACAUUCGGAAACGGGUGCUAAUACCGCAUAAUAUCUUCUUCCGCAUGGAAGAAGAUUGAAAGACGGCUCUGCUGUCACUUAUAGAUGACCUUGCGGUGCAUUAGUUAGUUGGUGGGGUAAUGGCCUACCAAGACGAUGAUGCAUAGCCGACCUGAGAGGGUGAUCGGCCACAUUGGGACUGAGACACGGCCCAAACUCCUACGGGAGGCAGCAGUAGGGAAUCUUCCGCAAUGGGCGAAAGCCUGACGGAGCAAUGCCGCGUGAGUGAAGAAGGCCUUCGGGUCGUAAAACUCUGUUAUAAGAGAAGAACAAAUUGUAGAGUAACUGCUACAGUCUUGACGGUAUCUUAUCAGAAAGCCACGGCUAACUACGUGCCAGCAGCCGCGGUAAU